UGGAAAAGGUUGUCCUGCAGAGUGCCCUCAAAGAUAUUUAGGACCUUGGUCAAAACGAAGUAUAAAUGCGUACAAAAGAAAUUCUAAGCGAGCUUUCCAUCCACAUUCAGAUUUACGGGGCAUCUCGUUUGACGAUUACGGUUGGUUUAUGAAACUGUUGGGCCGGAAUAAUAUUUGAGAGUGCGGAAUCAAGCUGGUUCCUGUAUACACUAUAAUUAAGAACAAUGGAAUCUCAAAAACAUGUAUACAGAUAUAUACCUGAGAAAAUACUUCCAAAGGAUAAAGCAAAUAUUUAAAUAUUACAGAAACUUUACAUUUUCAUUCAGUUCAUUAUACCCCACUCUGGCUAAGUAAUGCAAAUAUUUAGUGAUCAUUGCGAACCCACUUUGUUCUUUCGUCCGUACAUUCGCUUGUCUAUUCACACUUAGUGUAGUUCAUAUCCAUUUUGUUGUUCGUUGCUUAUAGUGGUUUCACACAGCAAAACAUAUCCUAUAUCAAAUCCACAAGAGGCGGUGGGGCAUUCUGUAUACGCUACUUCUUCUGGACUAGUGACUGGCUCCUCUAAACGUAAUCUGACAGGAUUUCAAUGAAACAUUCACAGAAUCUUCAGUACCUAAUCUAUUGUGCACAUCCUUUUUUUAUUUUCUGAUCUGAAUGAUUUUUAGAACUACCAUAGUCGCCUUAUCUUUUCAAACGGGAGGAGAGCGAGAGUACACAUAUGAGGAUUUUACUCAUAGCCUUUUUUGUUUUUGUUUAUUUUUAGUUUUAUUAGAAAUUAUGCUUACAGCGGGUCUGUAAAUCUAUUGUUUAUAAAACAUGUUCUAUACAUAUAUUUUUGAGUGUGUGAUAUUUAUUUAAAAUGUAAGAAUUUAUUUGUUUUUAAAUUAAAAAAUGUUUUCAAUGUGAAAAUACAA
This is a long non-coding RNA of Mytilus californianus (California mussel), 914 nucleotides long. RefSeq lists it as uncharacterized. NCBI's taxonomy places the organism in Eukaryota, Metazoa, Mollusca, Bivalvia, Mytilida, Mytilidae. The record is from RefSeq and is a predicted model, not a curated record. The transcript has 3 exons.